Molecule: unclassified non-coding RNA, 413 nt
Filed under: Hevea brasiliensis (rubber tree)
Lineage: Eukaryota; Viridiplantae; Streptophyta; Magnoliopsida; Malpighiales; Euphorbiaceae
Source: RNAcentral
CAGAAACAAGGUAAAAAACUUGAGUCUGUAAGGUCUAAGUCUUCAAAGCAAAUUGGACAAGAUGUAGGCACAGACAUAACACCACCACAGGCCCAAGGGAUGCCUCCACAUCCAAAACGCCGGUCUGUAUUUGGUAAACUAAGUUGCUUCGAUAACGUGGGCAAACUCUGAGGACGAAAGGCAUCAUCAGGCCUCCAUGCUCGGCAAUUCAUUGAAGCCCUCUGCGCAAUUCUCCCACGCUGAACACCCGAGUCACCAUCUCCUACGCCUAACUCAUUUCUGCUGUCUCCACAAGAAUCCAAUUGAGAAACGACAUUGCCUCUAGGGGAAGACUCGGAACAUUGAUCAUGUUGCUUGUCAGUGGCGGCUAGGGCAUCGGCAAUAGCCUCCCAAUCAUCCAAGCAGUCAUCAUC